AAUUUCAGUCAGAGUGUUUCUAUAAAGAAUCCAUCUUUAUGAAAUACUCAUUUUAAUAUGGGGUUACAGUGCUGCUUUGAAUGAUGUGCCUGACUUUUUUUUUUUUUUUUUUAAACAGACCGGGGGAAAAUGGAGUUCAGUAGCAACAGUAGUCUUGAAAUGUGAUCCAGAGGUGCACUUUACAGUUUCUCUAUCUCCAGUGCUCUACUUGUGCUGUAGUUCCACCCCAUUGGCACUUUAUUGUAAAUGCAAUAACGCACACACUCGCUCUCUUCCCCUCACCACCCCCCCUCCCAUCUCCACCUUGCUGCGUUGGUGAAUAGAAAUGAAAGCGUUUACAGGAUCAAGGCUGCGUACAAUGCUAGAGGUACUGGUGUGAUAUUUAUAGAAGUAUUAGCAUUGCAUCAUUCAGUGUUUUGUCCAAGGCUGGAAGCAGCAGGCAGCCUCUGUUCAGUGUUUAAUAUAGUCAGACUUGUACAGAUGUAUUGUUCCUCAGCACCUUGUUUACAGCCUUCCUUCCUCCUGCAGCAAAGACUGCCUGCACCCCCCACUAUUACAGGAAAUCCAUUCACAGAGCUGCAAUGUUUCAUCUACCCAUCCUGUACAUUCUAAACAGCCAUGCCAGGGGACGUCAUGCUCAGAUACAGCUUCUUCGUUCGACUCUAAUGUAGAGCUGGCAGGCAGCCUGGACAGGCCAAUGUAACUGAAGCUGCACAAUGGAACAUAAUAGAACGUGCAGGUUACCAAGCAACUUGCCAGCUACAGAACCUCAUAGCCAAGAGCACCAACUGGCCUGUGCGCACACACUGCUCAGCAUUGUGAUAUUACUGAAAAGAACUCCUGCAUCAGGCCAGUAGGACCCAUUCAUCUUCUUUCAGGGUGGUCCGUUUGUAAAACGGUUUUCUUAUGGUGACAACUAUUUUAUAUUGAUAGAUUAAUAAAUAUUACAUGCAUAAUCUCACUAUCUGUCCUUGCAAUGAACAAGUACAGUAAUACAAUAUCAGCACCUCUAUGUACACAGUGCAAGAAGUGCACAGGUUUAGUAUUAAACACACAAAAAAAAAAACCCUAGUCUAAUGUUCUGGGAACAUUUGUGAUUGGAUUAACUUCC
This is a non-coding RNA of Pelobates cultripes (western spadefoot toad), 1111 nucleotides long. Lineage: Eukaryota; Metazoa; Chordata; Amphibia; Anura; Pelobatidae. The record is from the annotation of a GenBank genome assembly.